AGUGAACGCUGGCGGUAGGCCUAACACAUGCAAGUCGAACGGCAGCACAGUAAGAGCUUGCUCUUACGGGUGGCGAGUGGCGGACGGGUGAGGAAUACAUCGGAAUCUACUUUUUCGUGGGGGAUAACGUAGGGAAACUUACGCUAAUACCGCAUACGACCUACGGGGGAAAGCAGGGGAUCUUCGGACCUUGCGCGAUUGAAUGAGCCGAUGUCGGAUUAGCUAGUUGGCGGGGUAAAGGCCCACCAAGGCGACGAUCCGUAGCUGGUCUGAGAGGAUGAUCGGCCACACUGGAACUGAGACACGGUCCAGACGCCUAAGGGAGGGAGCAGUGGGGAAUAUUAGGCAAUGGGCGCAAGCCUGAUCCAGCCAUACCGCGUGGGUGAAGAAGGCCUUCGGGUUGUAAAGCCCUUUUGUUGGGAAAGAAAAGCAGCAGGUUAAGACCCCGCUGUUCUGACGGUACCCAAAGAAUAAGCACCGGCUAACUUCGUG
RNAcentral lists this ribosomal RNA (492 nucleotides) under uncultured bacterium. RNAcentral describes it as "partial 16S ribosomal RNA". It matches the Rfam family "Bacterial small subunit ribosomal RNA", at positions 29 to 507 of the family's 1533-position model. The record is from RNAcentral.